Molecule: long non-coding RNA, 667 nt
Filed under: Sus scrofa (pig)
Lineage: Eukaryota; Metazoa; Chordata; Mammalia; Artiodactyla; Suidae
Description: lncRNA (ENSSSCG00070026892.1)
Source: RNAcentral
AGAUUAUUAGAGGUGACAGCAGUUUAAGUGGAGUAGAACAAUUUUGGAAAUUGGAUUAUAACAUUUAAUUCGAUGAUUAACUUUUUUAAAAAAAGUGCCUAAAGUGGGAGGAUGAGUGGCUGGCGUGCCUUUCAUCAUUUUGAUUUUGAGAUCUUAACAUUUUUCUUGCCUCCUUUCAGCACCACCAAGCUGCCCUGGAAUGGAACUUCUGCUCAGUUCUUGGAUUGAGGGAUGGAGGAGGAGUUUACUUCAUUCAUUCUCAGGGACUCUUAACUGGUUACUUUUCCUUUAAGAAUAAACUUUGGGUCUUCUAAAGACUUAAAGAAACUAAAUCAGGUGAGAAGAAUUUAGGAUAUUUUACCAUCUGGAGUUUCUCUGCCUCACUGGUGAUUUAAACUCAAACCUGCCAGUUUAUGCAAGAUGAUAGAAAGUACCCUGUAACAUCUGAGUUGCAAAAAUAUCUGCCUCUGAGAGCUCAGGAGGAUCUGCUUUGUGGGAGCAAAGGUAGUGAGUCAUACCUGGAAGCUUGCGCCUCUUCAUCCAGUCAAGUCUCCUAGGCAACAGUUUAUGCAGCACUUAAAAGAUGAGGAGUUAAGAGGAGAAAAUGGAAAAAAAAAACAACAGAAGUACUUUUAAUGGAACAGAAUAAACCACUGAACAGGUACCA